GUUUCAGUUUGACAAAGAGAUUAAAUCUUGGGUGUUGAUGUCGAUUGGUAAAAAAUAGAGGGAUUGGAAGUGCGAACUGAAGAAAUUCCACUACUAGCCUCAUGAUAAUGAUGAGGCGCGGCUAGCAGACCUCAAUGAGCAUGUCCAUAUGGAUCAGUGGAAGGCCCUCAUUGAGUUUUGAAACUCUGAAGAGGGAAAGGCUCGUAAUAAGAUAAAUAUGGAAAAUUGGAGAAAACAACGCAUCGGCCACACUGCAGGCAUGAAGAGCUUUGCGCGAAUACGUGAUGAAGAGAGAAAGAAGAGGGCCAAUGAGGAGGAUUUGACCUAAGUAGAUAUGUUCUUGUUGACACAUAUACGCAAGAAUGGGAUGCCUGUGGAUGAGGCCUCAACAAGAGCAAUGGUUUGUAUAUGUAUCUUCUUAUUUUGUUUAAUCUUUUAGCAAUAUAAAAUCUAAAUUGGUGAUUUUUAAUUGUAAGAACAAUUAAA
This is a long non-coding RNA of Magnolia sinica, 486 nucleotides long. RefSeq lists it as uncharacterized. The transcript has 3 exons. Lineage: Eukaryota; Viridiplantae; Streptophyta; Magnoliopsida; Magnoliales; Magnoliaceae. The record is from RefSeq and is a predicted model, not a curated record.